GGGCCCGCACAAGCGGUGGAGUAUGUGGUUUAAUUCGAUGCAACGCGAAGAACCUUACCAGGGUUUGACAUCCUGCGAAUCUCUUGGAAACUUGAGAGUGCCUUCGGGAGCGCAGUGACAGGUGGUGCAUGGCUGUCGUCAGCUCGUGUCGUGAGAUGUUGGGUUAAGUCCCGCAACGAGCGCAACCCACGUCUUUAGUUGCCAGCAUUUAGUUGGGCACUCUAGAGAGACCGCCGGUGAUAAACCCGGAGGAAGGUGUGGAUGACGUCAAGUCAUCAUGCCCCUUACAUCCUGGGCUACACACGUGCUACAAUGGUAGUGACAAUGGGUUAAUCCCAAAAAUGCUAUCUCA
RNAcentral lists this ribosomal RNA (352 nucleotides) under uncultured bacterium. RNAcentral's name for it is "bacterial SSU rRNA". It matches the Rfam family "Bacterial small subunit ribosomal RNA", at positions 917 to 1290 of the family's 1533-position model. The record is from RNAcentral.